AGAGUUUGAUCCUGGCUCAGAUUGAACGCUGGCGGCAUGCCUUACACAUGCAAGUCGAACGGCAGCACGGGUGCUUGCACCUGGUGGCGAGUGGCGAACGGGUGAGUAAUAUAUCGGAACGUACCUUAUCGUGGGGGAUAACGCAGCGAAAGCUGCGCUAAUACCGCAUACGCCCUGAGGGGGAAAGCGGGGGACCGUAAGGCCUCGCGCGAUUAGAGCGGCCGAUAUCUGAUUAGCUUGUUGGUGGGGUAAAAGCCCACCAAGGCGACGAUCAGUAGCUGGUCUGAGAGGACGAUCAGCCACACUGGGACUGAGACACGGCCCAGACUCCUACGGGAGGCAGCAGUGGGGAAUUUUGGACAAUGGGGGCAACCCUGAUCCAGCAAUGCCGCGUGAGUGAAGAAGGCCUUCGGGUUGUAAAGCUCUUUUGUCAGGGAAGAAACAGCAGCUCUAACACAGUCUGCGAAUGACGGUACCUGAAGAAUAAGCACCGGCUAACUACGUGCCAGCAGCCGCGGUAAUACGUAGGGUGCAAGCGUUAAUCGGAAUUACUGGGCGUAAAGCGUGCGCAGGCGGUUAUACAAGACGGGCGUGAAAUCCCCGGG
This 605-nucleotide ribosomal RNA is filed under the name uncultured freshwater bacterium. RNAcentral's name for it is "bacterial SSU rRNA". It matches the Rfam family "Bacterial small subunit ribosomal RNA", at positions 8 to 607 of the family's 1533-position model. The record is from RNAcentral.